GGACUAGUAACCAGCAGGUAGUCUAGUGGUUAGAGCGUUGGACUAGUAACCAGCAGGUAGCCUAGUGGUUAGAGCGUUGGACUAGUAACCAGCAGGUAGCCUAGUGGUUAGAGUGUUGGGUCAGUAACCAGCAGGUAGCCUAGUGGUUAGAGUGUUGGACUAGUAACCAGCAGGUAGUCUAGUGGUUAGAGUCUUGGACUAGUAACCAGCAGGAAGCCUAGUGGUUAGAGUGUUGGACUAGUAACUAGCAGGUAGUCUAGUGGUUAGAGUGUUGGGUCAGUAACCAGCAGGUAGCCUAGUGGUUAGAGCAUUGGGCCAGUAACUGAAAGGUUGCUAGAUCGAAGCCCCGAGGCAGUAAUCAGCAGGUAGUCUAGUGGUUAGGGCGUUGGGCCAGUAACCAGCAGGUAGCCUAGUGGUUAGGGCGUUGGGCCAGUAGCCAGCAGGUAGUCUAGUGGUUAGAGCGUUGGGCCAGUAACCAACAGGUAGCCUAGUGGUUAGAGCGUUGGGCCAGUAACCAACAGGUAGUCUAGUGGUUAGAGCGUUGGGCCAGUAACUGAAAGGUUGCUAGAUCGAAGCCCCUGACAAGGUAAAAGUCUGUUGUUGCUCCUGAACAAGGUUGUGUUACAGCCUUAAUCUAAAAUUCAUUAAUCUAAACACAAUCCCCCAUAAUCACUAAGCAAAAACUUUUUUUUUAUUAUUUUGCAAAUGUAUUAAAAAUAAAAAAAUAAAAUAUGACUUUUACUUCCGGUCAAAGUUUGGACACACCUUCUCAUUCAAGGGGUUUUCUUUAUUUGGACUAUUUUCUUCUCUGUCUCUACCUCUAUCUCUAUCUCUGUCU
Oncorhynchus tshawytscha (Chinook salmon) is the source of this 838-nucleotide long non-coding RNA. The record is from Ensembl. Lineage: Eukaryota; Metazoa; Chordata; Actinopteri; Salmoniformes; Salmonidae.